Molecule: ribosomal RNA, 589 nt
Filed under: uncultured Pseudomonas sp.
Lineage: Bacteria; Pseudomonadati; Pseudomonadota; Gammaproteobacteria; Pseudomonadales; Pseudomonadaceae
Description: partial 16S ribosomal RNA
Rfam family: Bacterial small subunit ribosomal RNA
Source: RNAcentral
ACUCCUACGGGAGGCAGCAGUKGGGAAUAUUGGACAAUGGGCGAAAGCCUGAUCCAGCCAUGCCGCGUGUGUGAAGAAGGUCUUCGGAUUGUAAAGCACUUUAAGUUGGGAGGAAGGGCAGUAAGCGAAUACCUUGCUGUUUUGACGUUACCGACAGAAUAAGCACCGGCUAACUCUGUGCCAGCAGCCGCGGUAAUACAGAGGGUGCAAGCGUUAAUCGGAAUUACUGGGSGUAAAGCGCGCGUAGGUGSUUYKUUAAGUUGAAYGUGAAAGCCCCGGGCUCWACCUGGGAAYUGCAUYCAAMACUGGCGAGCUMGAGUAGSGCAGAGGGUGGKGGAAUUUCCYGUGUAGCGGUGAAAUGCGUAGAUAUAGGAAGGAACACCAGUGGCGAAGGCGACCACCUGGGCUCAUACUGACACUGAGGUGSGAAAGCGUGGGGAGCAAACAGGAUUAGAUACCCUGGUAGUCCACGCCGUAAACGAUGUCAACUAGCCGUUGGAAUCCUUGAGACUUUAGUGGCGCAGCUAACGCMUUAAGUUGMCCGCCUGGGGAGUACGGCCSCAAGGUUAAAACUCAAAUGAAUUGACGG